This 409-nucleotide ribosomal RNA is filed under the name bacterium. RNAcentral describes it as "partial 16S ribosomal RNA". It matches the Rfam family "Bacterial small subunit ribosomal RNA", at positions 355 to 776 of the family's 1533-position model. The record is from RNAcentral.
UGGGGAAUAUUGCACAAUGGGCGAAAGCCUGAUGCAGCGACGCCGCGUGAGGGAUGACGGCCUUCGGGUUGUAAACCUCUUUCAGCAGGGACGAAGCGCAAGUGACGGUACCUGCAGAAGAAGCACCGGCUAACUACGUGCCAGCAGCCGCGGUAAUACGUAGGGUGCAAGCGUUGUCCGGAAUUACUGGGCGUAAAGAGUUCGUAGGCGGUUUGUCGCGUCGUUUGUGAAAACCAGCAGCUCAACUGCUGGCUUGCAGGCGAUACGGGCAGACUUGAGUACUGCAGGGGAGACUGGAAUUCCUGGUGUAGCGGUGAAAUGCGCAGAUAUCAGGAGGAACAUCGGUGGCGAAGGCGGGUCUCUGGGCAGUAACUGACGCUGAGGAACGAAAGCGUGGUUAGCGAACAGG